AAAAAAAAUCUCAAAUUUCUCCAUUUUCACUUGUUGAUCCAAAAAUUCAAGAAAAAUGAGGAUUCGAAAACCCAUACCCAAUUCACCAUCUUCAUCUUCAUCAUCGUCGUCAUCUUCAUCUUCUUCAUCUUCCUUGUACACGUUCUCUUCCCUAACAGAUAACUCCUUUGCUUCAUCCAUAGAUUCAUCUUCCUCAACUUCAACUUCUUCCUCUAUCACCACUGCUAGAUGUCAAGGCCUUGAUCUGCUAGUCAAGGCCAUUCAUCAGGUUACUGAUGGUUCUGUUGUGGGUGUUCCUUACAUUCAGAAAAGGGUCAUCACGAGGAGGAGGAGAAGAGUUUUGAGCUUUGAAAGGUUUUUUAUAGCAGAGUGUUUUGAGAAACAGCAUGAUGGGGUGAAGUGCAAAGAUGGGUCGUUGCCUAAAAGACAGCAAAGGAAGCGAUUGAAGACUGUUCCGACUAAGUAUCAAGAUUCAGCGAUGAUUCAGUCAUCGAAGCCCAAACCCAAAAGCCGGAGACUUCAGAGAUCUGCUAAGAUUUGUGAGGAAUUGGGGUCGUGAAACUGUUUUCUCUAUUUUGAUUCUUCUCUUUUUCCGAGAUCUUAGAUGAUCUUGUUCUCUUAGAGGUAUCAAUUUGAUAUAUAGUAUUUUUGCUUCUUUCUUCUUUUUUUUUUGGGUGGAUGGGUAAUUUUUCUGUUUUCAAUUUGUAAUGGAGUAUGUUAUAGUGAUGAAUUUUCGAUCAAUGAAGAUAUGGUGAAA
RNAcentral lists this unclassified non-coding RNA (757 nucleotides) under Hevea brasiliensis (rubber tree). Lineage: Eukaryota; Viridiplantae; Streptophyta; Magnoliopsida; Malpighiales; Euphorbiaceae. The record is from RNAcentral.